Molecule: RNA transcript, 4079 nt
Organism: Amyelois transitella
Lineage: Eukaryota; Metazoa; Arthropoda; Insecta; Lepidoptera; Pyralidae
Gene name: bilin-binding protein
Exons: 2
Source: RefSeq, a predicted model, not a curated record
UUUUUGAGAAAUGAUGGUAAGAUUUAAUACUCAAAAGGGUCUGGAAUGGAAUGGUUACAUUCUUAAGUGCUGGGAACUACUAGGAAAAUUUUGCAUUACACAGAAAAGCUGAGCUGAUACCCAUUGAGGUGGAGUCCCAAGUUUAGAAUAACAUUGAUAGCAACGAUAAAAAUCACUUUGCCGUGUGGUUCCCGGCACCAUUACAAAAGAAUAGGACCACUCCAUCUCUUUCCCACGGAUGUCGUAAGAGCCGACUAAGGGAUAGACUUGGGAUUCCUCUUUAAUGUAAAUCCCUGCCAAUCUAAGGUCUGCCGCGCCGAUGGAUGCAUGGCUAGGGGCGAGCCUAGUCUCGAGCGUGCCACUUCCGCCAUGGGGUUGGGCGACCCCCAGGUAAUGGCUAGCCUUACCCUGGCAUGCGGGGCUCUGCUGGGGCGGACAAAAUUUUUCCCUAGCGUCUCGUGGGAAUCGCAUGGAUGCAAAUUUUUUGAAAGAGCACCUAGAUGGCGGCGAUGGUGUCCGCACCCCAUCACGUCUCGUUCCCGGCGGGAGCGGUAUGCGGUCUGCUGAAAGCCGCUUUGCGACGAUGAAUGUAAGAGGAGGAAUGAAGGAUAAGAUUGAGGAAGUAUGCCAGAUGAUGGAUGAAAGACGUUUGGAUGUGUUGUGCGUGAAUGAAACGAAGCGGAAAGGAUGCGACGCGACGCAGCACGGCCCUUACACGGCGUAUUGGUCUGGAAUUUCCAGUACCAGCCGAGGCUGUCAAGGGGUCGGUCUAAUUCUUUCUGCACGAAUGGCUGAGUGCGUGAAUGAGUAUGAGUGUGUCAGCCCUCGUCUUCUAUGGAUUAGGCUGAAAGUUGGAAUCACUCGGAUCUUCGUUCUAGGUGUUUAUGCACCUUGGGAUGUGGGUUCGAGGGGUACAACAUCAGCAAAAAGCGAAAACGAGGAGUUCUGGAAUAGUGUAAGAGAAGUAUUGAAAGUUACCAAGCCAAAUGAGAAGAUUAUUAUGUUAGGUGAUUUUAAUGGAUGGGUGGGUGUAAAGCGUGAUGGAUAUGAAAAGGUGCUUGGUGCGUUUGGUGACGAAAAGGUGAAUGAUAAUGGAAGAAGUGUAUUAGAAAUUUGUCUAGAGUGGGAUCUUUUUGUGUCGAACUCAAUGUUUCAACAUAAAGAGAUCCACACCUACACAAGAGUGGAAGGUAUUUUAAAAAGUAUGAUAGACUUUGUGAUUGUAGAUGAAAGAUUGAAGAACAAAGUGCUGGAUACCCGUGCAUAUCGCGGUGCUGGCAUUGACUCGGACCAUUUACUGGUGAUAUCCCGGAUAAGGGGUAUCUUCAAUCGCUGGCGGCACAGGGUAAGGGAGCAAACCAGCGCUUUGGAAAGAGUAAAAGUAGAAAAUUUGCAAGAUAUGGAUGUAGGUAAGAAGUAUAUUAAUAGACUGAAGGAUGAAUUUGAAGAUUUAGAGGAAAUGAGCGAUAUUGAAGAUGGAUGGAAGGAAUUUAAAGAAAGAAUUGUGAAAGUAGCUGUUGAAGUGUGUGGUGUAAGUAGAAGAAGGAAAGGAAAAAAUCACAAAAAUGCGUGGAUGAGUAAAGAUGUGCAAGAACUUGUGCGAUUAAAGAAGAAAGCAUGGCUGGAUUUGUUAGCAGCAAAAGCUAACUUAAGAAUGCAAGAGGUUAUAGAUGAAGAUGUGAAUGAAGCACGUAAGGAAUAUAAGAAAAUGAAAGAUUUGGUUAAGAAAGCUGUGAUUAGAAAGAAAGAAGAGUAUAAAGAGGAUUUUGAUAAAAGGCUAUCAGAAGACUUUCAGUCAAAUCUGAAAGUAUUCUGGAAAUCCGUAAGGUCAGCCCGAGGAAAUACUAUAACCAGAGAGCUGACUAGGAUCAGAUGCCAGGAUGGUAGCGUUGUGAAAGGAGAAGAAUGUGUACUAAAGAUAUGGAAGGACUAUUUUGAAAGUUUAUUUGAAAAAAAGGAAGGAAAUAAGAAAGAUUUCUGCUAUAGCGAAGAAAAAGAGAAUGAGAUGGAAGGCGAAAUUGAAAUGUUCGAAAUUGUGGAAGCACUUAAGAGUAUGAAAGCGGGAAAGGCUGCUGGGUGUGAUAGAGUGUCGGUCGAGAUGCUUAAAGCAGGAAAAGGCGUAGUAGCUAGUCAGUUGUACUGCCUUUUCAAUUUGUGUUGGAGAAGCGGCCGAGUACCAAAAGAUUGGUGUAAGGCUGUUAUCGUGCCACUUUACAAAGGAAAAGGGUCACAGCUGGACUGCAAAAAUUAUCGUGGUAUAAGCCUGCUUAGCGUCGUCGGCAAAUUGUAUGCUAAGGUAUUGAUUAAUAGAGUCAGGAAUGAAACUGAUGACAAAAUAUGGGAUGCUCAAGCGGGAUUUCGAAAGGGAAUGGGAUGUACUGAUCAGGUCUUUUCCUUGCGGUGCAUAGCCGAAAAGUUUUUGGCCAAGAGUCAAAAAGUCUAUUGCACAUUCGUAGAUCUGGAAAAGGCCUAUGACAGAGUUGAGAGGAAUGAAUUGUGGUCAGCACUUUCUAUGCAUGGGGUGAGCAGUCUCUUAAUACGAGCACUGAAAUCCUUAUAUGAGGAUUCGAGUGCUUGUGUCAGGAUAAACGGAGCGCACACUGAGUGGUUUAAGAUUGAGAAAGGCGUUAGGCAAGGAUGUGUUGCGUCACCGUGGCUGUUCAACCUAUUUAUGGAUAGCUGUUUGACAGAUUUGAAAGAGUCUAAAAGUGGAUUAAGGAUGAAUGAGUUACUCGUCAAAUGUCUGCUCUAUGCCGACGAUCAGGUUAUACUGGCGUCAUCAGCGGAGGAGUUACAGGAGAUGGUAAACUGUAUGCAUGAAGCUUUAAAAGAGAAAGGAAUGAAAGUGAACGUAAGUAAAACUAAAACACUGGUUUUUGAAAUGGAGAAAGAAAUGACAGCAUGUAAUAUUUUGAUUGGAGGAGAAAAGUGGAGCAAGUGAAAGAGUUUGUAUAUCUAGGAUCAAAGUUUACAUCAGAUGGCAAGUAUGAUAGUGAUAUUGAAAGGAGAGUGAACGCGGGGAACAUGGUGAAUGGAGCUUUGCAUGCCUUUAUGAGCAGUCAGAAACUAUCCAAAAAGGCUCGACUGGCUGUGCACAGGGGCGUGUUGGUCCCGACAUUAAUGUAUGGGAGUGAAAGUUGGGUAUGGCAAAAGAAGCAUGAAAGCAGAAUAAAUGCAGUGGAAAUGAGAGCGUUAAGGAGUAUGAUGGGUGUGAAAUUGAGUGACAGGAUAAGGAACAGCGUGAUAAGGGAAUGUUGUGAUGUGAAAGAAGAUGUAGUUACAGGAAUAGAAAAGGGUAUGUUAAGAUGGUUCGGUCAUGUGGAGAGGAUGAAUGAAAGCAGGUUGACUAAGCAGAUAUACAAGGAGAGUGUGGAGGGAAAGGUCGGAGUGGGAAGACCUAGACGAACGUAUCUUGAUCAAAUUAAGGACGUCCUGGUAAAGGGUCAGGUCAAAAGUACCCGAAACCGCCGAGCUUGUAUGAAGAGAGUUAUGAAUGUGGACGAAGCGAAAGAAGUAUGCAGAGAUCGUGGCAAGUGGAAAGAGGUAGUCUCUGCCUACCCCUCCGGGAAAGAGGCGUGAUUUUAUGUAUGUACGUAUGUAUGUAUAAAAAUCACUUCCUGAUGUAAUGAAAUUGUAAAAUUAUAGAUAUUCAAAACCAAGGCGAUUGCCUUGGCGAAAUCACAGCAUUUAUAAAAAAGAUAAGAUUAGUAGAACAAUUUUUGAUAGUACUGAUAAAUGUAUUAAUCAAGACGUCAAUGGAUAUUUGGUUCACGAAAUGUGUUACUCAUCACAAUUAACAUAAAACUGUUUUGCAAAUUUUGCUUAAAAUAAAACAACUUCCUAAGAUAUUCAAUAUAGUUUUUGUACAUAGAUUUUUCAUACGAAUUGAAAGUUAGAAGAUAUGUGACCAUAAAAUAAAUUUGUUUAGAGCAAAAUUUUAAGACUCGGCCUGGAUCCUUUCCCGAAGCAAGAAGCUGGAAGGUGACACGAAGACAACUGUUGAAAACUUCCUGAAGGCCAAUUUUAAGGACAUUGACGCUACAAAAUUGGUGAAGACCGACUUCUCUGAGGAGGCUUGU